GUGGUCUCUCCUGGUGGCGGG
This 21-nucleotide unclassified non-coding RNA is filed under the name Chlamydomonas reinhardtii. Its description in RNAcentral is "small RNA Cre_2070". The record is from RNAcentral. Lineage: Eukaryota; Viridiplantae; Chlorophyta; Chlorophyceae; Chlamydomonadales; Chlamydomonadaceae.